UUAGCAGGCUUACACAUGCAAGUCGAGCGGAAGAGUAGCUUGCUACUGAUCUUAGCGGCGGACGGGUGAGUAAUGCUUAGGAAUCUGCCUAUUAGUGGGGGACAACAUUUCGAAAGGAAUGCUAAUACCGCAUACGUCCUACGGGAGAAAGCAGGGGAUCUUCGGACCUUGCGCUAAUAGAUGAGCCUAAGUCGGAUUAGCUAGUUGGUGGGGUAAAGGCUUACCAAGGCGACGAUCUGUAGCGGGUCUGAGAGGAUGAUCCGCCACACUGGGACUGAGACACGGCCCAGACUCCUACGGGAGGCAGCAGUGGGGAAUAUUGGACAAUGGGCGCAAGCCUGAUCCAGCCAUGCCGCGUGUGUGAAGAAGGCCUUAUGGUUGUAAAGCACUUUAAGCGAGGAGGAGGCUACUUUAGAUAAUACCUAGAGAUAGUGGACGUUACUCGCAGAAUAAGCACCGGCUAACUCUGUGCCAGCAGCCGCGGUAAUACAAGAGGGUGCAAGCGUUAAUCGGAUUUACUGGGCGUAAAGCGCGCGUAGGCAGCUAUUAAGUCAAAUGUGAAUCCCCGAGCUUAACUUGGGAAUUUGCUUCGAUAACUUGGUUAAGCUAAGAGUGUGGGAGAGAU
This 625-nucleotide ribosomal RNA is filed under the name uncultured bacterium. Its description in RNAcentral is "bacterial SSU rRNA". It matches the Rfam family "Bacterial small subunit ribosomal RNA", at positions 39 to 658 of the family's 1533-position model. The record is from RNAcentral.